UACGGGGGGAGCAAGCGUUGUUCGGAUUUACUGGGCGUAAAGGGCGCGUAGGCGGCCACCGCAAGUCGACUGUGAAAUCUCCGGGCUUAACCCGGAAAGGUCAGCCGAUACUGCGGGGCUAGAGUGCAGAAGGGGCAACUGGAAUUCUCGGUGUAGCGGCGAAAUGCGUAGAUAUCGAGAGGAACACCUGCGGCGAAGGCGGGUUGCUGGGCUGACACUGACGCUGAUGCGCGAAAGCUAGGGGAGCGAACGGG
This 254-nucleotide ribosomal RNA is filed under the name uncultured bacterium. RNAcentral's name for it is "partial 16S ribosomal RNA". It matches the Rfam family "Bacterial small subunit ribosomal RNA", at positions 524 to 776 of the family's 1533-position model. The record is from RNAcentral.